This 300-nucleotide unclassified non-coding RNA is filed under the name uncultured Periconia. Its description in RNAcentral is "sequence contains 5.8S rRNA gene, ITS2". The stretch from base 1 to 80 matches the Rfam family "5.8S ribosomal RNA", at positions 75 to 154 of the family's 154-position model. The record is from RNAcentral. Lineage: Eukaryota; Fungi; Ascomycota; Sordariomycetes; Microascales; Halosphaeriaceae.
AAGAGACGGGUGAGUCAUCGAAUCUUUGAACGCACAUUGCGCCCCUCGGUAUUCCGUGGGGCACGCCUGUUCGAGCGUCAUUUACACCCUCAAGCGCAGCUUGGUGUUGGGCGUCUGUCCCGCUCUCCGUAGCGCGGACUCGCCUCAAAGUCAUUGGCGGCGGUCGUGCCGGCUCCUCGCGCAGCACAUUUGCGCUUCUCGGAGGCCCGGCGGAUCGGCAUCCAGCAAGCUACUUUUUAUGACUUGACCUCGGAUCAGGUGAGGAUACCCGCUGAACUUAAGCAUAUCAAUAAGCGGAGG